AUAUUCCCAAAAAUCCAGCCCGGAUCUCUCUUCCCCCCACCGGGAGCAUUCCCGGAUUUUUCCAUCCUUUCCCAGGGCCCCGAGCGGGACGCGGCUGGAGCCGUGGAGCGGGAAUUCGGGAAGUUGGAAUCCUUCGUCAGCCAGGUCCUGGAUGAAGCCGCCCGCACCAAGGAGCUCUGGAAUUCCCUGGGAUGUAAAUUAACCGACGUGCUGCGCGUUCCGGAGCGGAGACUCCUGGAGGACAGCAGGAACCUUCCCAUCGCUUCCGGCAGCUCCCGCUCCGAGCGUCUCCUGCUCUUCGACGACGUCCUGGUGCUGAUCCAGGCACGGCCUGCGCGUCACCACCCCGGAGGAGACGUUCGUCCUCUCCACCAAGGACCCCCAAACCAAGGCCGUGUGGCGCUGGAAGCUGGAGCAGGCCGUGCGCCAGGCGCUCAACGGGAAGCGCGAUUUCCCGCUCUGGGGCGGCAGCGGCGACGGAGCCGAGGCUCCUUCCCGAAGAUUCUUCAGCUACGGAUUCCGCAGGGACAGCCGGCUCCGAGGGGCCACCUACGAGGGCGAGUGGCUGGAGGGGAAACCCCACGGCAAGGGGACGCUGAAGUGGAGCGACGGCCGCAACCACGUGGGCGAUUUCCGGGAGGGCCGGGAGCACGGGUGAGCCUGGGAAAACGGGAGCUUUUCCAUGCUGGAAUUUCUCAAGCUGGGCUUUUCCAUCCUGAUGUUUUCCAUGCUGGAAUUUGUGCUUGGAUUCGCCAUGCCGGAAUUUUCCACGUUGGAAUUUUCCAUGCUGGAAUUUUCCCUUCUGACCUUUUCCAUCCUGACCUUUCCCAUGCCGGAAUUUUCCAUCCUGGAAUUUUCCCAUGCUGGAAUUUUUCCCUGCUGGAAUUUUCCCUGCUGGAAUUUUCCAUGCUGGAAUCUUCCAUACUGGAAUUUUCCCUACAGGAAUUUUCCCUGCUGGAAUUUUCCAUCCUGAUGUUUUCCAUGCUGGAAUUUCUACUUGGCUUUUCCAUGCUGGAAUUUUUCCAUCCUGACAUUUUCCCCGCUGGAAUUUUCCCUGCUGGAAUUUUCCCUGCUGGAAUUUUUCCCGCUGGAAUUUUCUCUUCUGGAAUUUUCCCUGCUGGAAUUUUCCACACUGGAAUUUUCCCUGCUGGA
This 1152-nucleotide long non-coding RNA is filed under the name Cyanistes caeruleus (blue tit). RNAcentral's name for it is "lncRNA (ENSCCEG00000008236.1)". The record is from RNAcentral. Lineage: Eukaryota; Metazoa; Chordata; Aves; Passeriformes; Paridae.